UACGGGGGGAGCAAGCGUUGUUCGGAUUUACUGGGCGUAAAGGGCGCGUAGGCGGCCAGCACAAGUCAGUUGUGAAAUCUCCGAGCUUAACUCGGAACGGUCAACUGAUACUGUGCGACUAGAGUGCAGAAGGGGCAACUGGAAUUCUCGGUGUAGCGGUGAAAUGCGUAGAUAUCGAGAGGAACACCUGCGGCGAAGGCGGGUUGCUGGGCUGACACUGACGCUGAUGCGCGAAAGCCAGGGGAGCGAACGGG
This 254-nucleotide ribosomal RNA is filed under the name uncultured bacterium. Its description in RNAcentral is "partial 16S ribosomal RNA". It matches the Rfam family "Bacterial small subunit ribosomal RNA", at positions 524 to 776 of the family's 1533-position model. The record is from RNAcentral.